Molecule: transfer RNA, 72 nt
Filed under: Phrynosoma platyrhinos (Desert horned lizard)
Lineage: Eukaryota; Metazoa; Chordata; Lepidosauria; Squamata; Phrynosomatidae
Description: tRNA-OTHER
Source: RNAcentral
GCCAAAGUAGCAUAGUGGUUUGUGUGCUGGACUAUGACUCUGGAGACCAGGAUUCAAUUCUCAGCUCAGCCA